This 460-nucleotide ribosomal RNA is filed under the name uncultured bacterium. RNAcentral's name for it is "partial 16S ribosomal RNA". It matches the Rfam family "Bacterial small subunit ribosomal RNA", at positions 338 to 795 of the family's 1533-position model. The record is from RNAcentral.
CCUACGGGAGGCAGCAGUGAGGAAUAUUGGUCAAUGGACGAGAGUCUGAACCAGCCAAGUAGCGUGAAGGAUGACUGCCCUAUGGGUUGUAAACUUCUUUUAUAUGGGAAUAAAAUGUUCCACGUGUGGGAUUUUGUAUGUACCAUAUGAAUAAGGAUCGGCUAACUCCGUGCCAGCAGCCGCGGUAAUACGGAGGAGCCGAGCGUUAUCCGGAUUUAUUGGGUUUAAAGGGAGCGUAGGUGGAUUGUUAAGUCAGUUGUGAAAGUUUGCGGCUCAACCGUAAAAUUGCAGUUGAAACUGGCAGUCUUGAGUACAGUAGAGGUGGGCGGAAUUCGUGGUGUAGCGGUGAAAUGCUUAGAUAUCACGAAGAACUCCGAUUGCGAAGGCAGUUCACUGGACUGCAACUGACACUGAGGCUCGAAAGUGUGGGUAUCAAACAGGAUUAGAGACCCUUGUAGUC